Meleagris gallopavo (turkey) is the source of this 3873-nucleotide non-coding RNA. Lineage: Eukaryota; Metazoa; Chordata; Aves; Galliformes; Phasianidae. The record is from RefSeq and is a predicted model, not a curated record.
CCCGCCCCUACUCACUUUAAAAGCCGCUCGCGAUAAAAUCCGGGCCGGCCGGAAUCGGAUUAAAAUCCCCCACGGUGCUCGGCUGCUCCGCACCGGCCCCGCCACCACCUCCUCCUCCCCCCGAGACACGUACUCUCCAGCCCGAAGCUUUAACGCGUGGCCGCCUUUAUACCGCCGGAGCCUGGGACACACAGCAACAAGACGUCUCCUGGUUGGCCGUCGCUCUUUGUCACUCAUAAGAUUCGGGGGCUCCUAUUGGUUCUACGGCGUCGGGCGGACGGGGUGCGCGGGGUGAGGCGAAUGGCGGCCUGCGGGACUGAGUUGUGAGGGAAAGCGCGUGCGGGGGCUUCGCGCCUCUCACCUCAGCGCCCACGGCUCCGUGCGCCCGUGGAGAAGUGGGGGCGCGGGUGGCUGCCGCGCUCACUUUCAACUGUGUUAUCCUCUCGAGGCGCUUCCCGAUAACAGACCGUGCGCGAAGCCCAGUCCCGGAGGCGCAACGCCCGCGUGAGGCGAUGGCUGUUGCCCGCAGCAGCCUCCUAACGGUCCGCCGCAGAGCGCUCCCGUCCCGCUGAGGCGCGGUUAUGGCAGCGCCGCUGCGUUUCCUGGCGCCGCUCCGUGAAGGUUUUCGUAUUUGUAGCAGCUGAAUGCAGAUGUGUGCUCUGAAGUUAAAAGUGUAUAGAUCAGCAGCAAGAGUAGACCAAAAUGGGUGGCAGUUUAUGUAAGUCUGUUGUCUAAGCUUUGGUUCAGGUGAUGGAUGUAAUCUGAGUGGUUUUAAUGAUAUAAUGUAUUAAUUUCUCUGCAAAAGUAAUUGCUCUGAAUAUCUCCUUUGUAUUUUAUCAAGCCUUGCUAAGGACUUGCAUGAUUUAUUGUUUGAUUUGCAGCUCUCCAUAGGUUUCCAUUAUUUCCUUUUUUCCAUUUCCUUUUUUCCAUUUCCUUUUUUCCAUUUCCUUUUUUCCAUUUCCUUUUUUCCAUUUCCUUUUUUCCAUUUCCUGAACUAUCUUCUUUCCUUUUACAGCUCUUGCAUGGAUUUGCUUAACAAUGCUUUCUUCAGAUCUGUAAUCUCUUCCAACUGUUGAUUUCUUCUGGUCAGUCCCAUCUCAAUCUCUCAUCUUGGCAAUUCCAAGCAGCAAUUUCCAGCUACUAUGUCUAUUUUAUGCCACGUAGAGAUAAGGUAGAGAUAUAUAUUUAAGGAAGUAAAGGGUAAAUGUCUAGUAUCUAUAUACAGCAUCCACAUGUUAUGCCAGUAUACAGAUGAGUAGAAGCUUUAUAGAGAACAGGAAGUCUAUGCCAGCCUCCACAGGUAUUCAACAUGAAUGCAUCCUGAGCAAAAUCAUGGAAUUGAACAGGAGAGUCUUUACUCUAAAAUGGCUUAGUAUAAUUCAAUUGCUUUAGAUGACUUACAUAGUAGGAGCUAUUGUGUGUGGAACAAAAGGUAAAUAGAACUUGAUCAAUAUGUGUAUGGGCUUACAGCUGAAAACCAAAUGUUUUGUGUGGAGCAGAAAAUACUUUAUGUGGAAAGACAUAGAGAAUUGACAUAAAAAGAUGGUCUACAAAAUCAAAUAGUCUUGCAAAAAAAAUUCUGAGUGGAAGAGAAUGAUUUAUAUGUUGUGAUCAGAGAAAAGGAUAUCAGUAACUGAGAUGAGGAGGGCUUGUGCAAGAUUCCCAGCUAUGUCAGUAACUCACAGAAGUCACAGCAGUUUGGACUAAUCUGAAUCUAAAACUCAUAUUCCUGGCUGUGAAGUUCCACCUACUCCCUUGCACAGUUAGCUGUAAAAUAACUCAGCUGAACAAUGGUUGGUUUUCAGCCAGAUCAUUUAUCUAGCACACGCUCAUUACAUGAGAGUAAAUUGCAAUGGAAACACCUUAAGUUUGAAAAGAGACAGUAAUAUGAGGCAAUCAUAUCUGUAUUUGUCAAUUAGUGCAAUGAGCUAUGAGCUAGAAGGGAAGGGAGGAGAGAAAUUAUAUCAGAGUUCACUGGUGUUCUUGCAAACAUGGGAAAGAAACACAAGGGAAGCUAUUGCUGUGCCAGGCUGGGGAAAAAGCAAUAGGUGAGAAUAAUUGCAAAAGUUAAGGUAAGAGGAAAGCUAGCUAUGCUAAAAGUGGCUGGACACAAAAGAGUUUCAUUUAAGAUUUGUUGAGAAGCUUUUAGAUGAGUAGAGGAAGCAAAACUGUGUUUGAAGUGAAUUUAGGGUGCAGCCAGACAGGAGAUGUGGUUGGAAGACUUGAAAACAUGAGAUGAGAAGAGGUGCUUCUACGGAAGGAUUAUAUUAAAUUAAUUGAUUGAUGUACAAGAGGCUGAAGUGCAUCUGUGCAGGUGCUGGGGGGUCAGAGCAGAGUAUAUGAUAAAAUCUGUGAACAUAUGAAAGAGUGGGCAUGAGGAUGAUCAGGAAAUAAAACGGAAGAAGGUCAGUAGAGCAAGUGAUGGAGUUACAGAGGAUGCGUAGAUAAGAAGUUUGUUAUUACUUGGAGUCUUGUAGAAAUAAUAACAUUUAAAGAAAAUUGUGACAUUUGAUUUGGGUUAGUCAAAAGCAAUAAAAAGUUAGCUAGGAUUACAGGCAUGUAGGCAAACUGCAGCAGAAUUGUUUAGCUGUAAGAAAUGGAGGAGGGAGCGGGCUUGCAGGAGCGGAAGUUAGCUUGGUCACAGGAUUUCCGUCAAACACACUUUGCACUGCAAGAGCAAGCACGGAUGAAGCAGGUUAUGGAGGUAAGCUGGUGCUGCGUGUAGGUAUCCCAGCCUUUAUCCUGGGAGACAGAAGCAAAAAAAAAAAAAAAACAUGGUGUCAGUGGUGGACAGAAGUUGUUUGUGUGGCAAAUGAAUAACCAGGAAAUUAUUACUACUUUUUUUUUGUUAUGCUUGACAUCAAAAUGCACAGAAAGCUAAAAUGUGUAGGUUUCAUUUUUAAUCAGUGAAACUGGCCAGUAUUACUCUUCAACUUUUCUUUAUUAUUUUGCAUUAUCCAGUGCAAUUUUACAUCAUUCUGUUUUUCCUCCUUCUUUCUUUUUUUUUUUAAUGAACAAUCCCCAAGCAAAUAUUUUGUCCAUCUUCUCGCAAUAUUGGUGUUCAAAGUUCUAAAACGGUAUUUUUUCUUUAAGAAGUUAUUUAUUUGUUACUAGAAUGCAAAUGCAUCUGCAACCAUGAUCUUAAUGUUAUUAUAUUCCAUGCCAGCUAAAAAUAAGACAACCAAGGCUUGUUAAACCGCUUAACAGAUCAGAUACAGCAGCCAAGCUAUGCCCAGGGAAGUAUUCAGAACUGUAAUGGUUUGUAGCAUUGUAAUUAAAAUUUCAGGUUUCGUUUGUUUCUUUUCUUAGCCCAUAAUAACAUCCCUGGGCUACAGAGGUUAGAGACAGUGCUUCAAACCAGCCUUUCAGUUAUUAGAAAUAGCUUUUCAAGCACUGCAAAGAUAACAUGCGUACAAUAACAAUAUCAACACAGGGUUAACAGGUCGGGUUUAUGGAAUCCAAGGAUUUAGAAGAAACCUCUGAGAUACUCUUACUGUAUAAAGCUACUUCUUUGUUAGAGAACACACAAUGUUAUUUUCUCUUAAUGUGUGGGGCCCCUUUAAGUGUGUAACUUUGCAUUAUUAAACGGUCGUGGGAAGUGUGGCAGGAGGAAACCCCGGGUAAUUGGCUGCAGCUUCAGAUGCAGCAGCUCGCUCAUUGGAGAGCAGAGGAUUCUCCGAGUUGCUAAAAUUAGAUGAUCUCCGCCCUCCAGAAAUGCUUCUGGAAACAGCAAGGAGGAGAAAUUCUGACACAGAAGGAUGGGGGAAGGAGUGAAGUGCACAGGAUGCUGCUCGUGGGGAAGCUUCAGCAGAUAAAGAUGCACAGACAGAUACUGAUAUAUUUUUUUCCUAUCUUGGUUAACUGGGAGCAAAA